Non-coding RNA from Oncorhynchus mykiss (rainbow trout), 686 nucleotides. Lineage: Eukaryota; Metazoa; Chordata; Actinopteri; Salmoniformes; Salmonidae. The record is from RefSeq and is a predicted model, not a curated record.
CGAGAGAGGGGGAAUAACGAGGGAAAGAUGGAAGGGACGUUGCCGUUGGUUCUGGAUGGUGUCGGCGGUGCUCAGAGAAAGAAGGAGGAGCGCGCGCUGACUGUCGCAAUGGGAGCGCGGGUACUCAAAAGAGCGGAGAGAACACCCUCGCAACAAUGCUGCCAAAGAUCCGCAAAAUAGCCGUCACAGAUUUAAACAAACCACUGACCGUGAAACACCAUGAUCCAGAAACUGCUGGAUGCCAGACUAGAGACACAAUAAAUAAUGUCUGUCAGUGGACACAGAUCCAAAACCUCUCUUGAAGUUACUGGAAGCGAGGAAGCGGUGGAGCACUAUUCUAUCUGACAUAGCAGCAGCAGCUCCCCCAGCUAAAAGAACAGCUAAUAUUUCCAACAUCUUGGAGCCAACAAACGACAACAUGGACAAGCAAACAACCAACGAUAACAUGGGACAUUUUUUUCAUUCGUACCCAAUACAUGGCAACAUUCAGAUCAACAUGAAUACAUAAUUGGCGUGUGUUAGUCACUCUGGAAGUGGUGCUAAUGCUCGUUUUUUUACAUACAUUUAUUGUAUGCUCGCUAGCUAGCCUGUGGUUCUAUUGCAUAGCAACCAGUCUAGCAACGCGACUUUUGGCAGGACUACUUUUUAUGGCAGAAUGUAUUUAUUUAAUAAAGCAACAUUUUCAA